Acanthosepion pharaonis is the source of this 107-nucleotide non-coding RNA. The record is from the annotation of a GenBank genome assembly. Lineage: Eukaryota; Metazoa; Mollusca; Cephalopoda; Sepiida; Sepiidae.
CCACAUCAUGUCGAAAGACCUCAUUCCGUACGAUCACCUAAGUUAAGCAACGUUGAUUUGUUUAGUACCUAGAUGGGUGACCGCUUGGGAAUAUCAGGUGCUGUAAG